AAGCAGAGUGACCAGGUCAGUGGCUACAGCAGUAGCUCAGACAAAAGAUGAGGUGGCCUGGACUAGGGUGGUGGGAGUGGAGAUGGGGAGGGAGUGAACAGGGUCAGGACAUGCUUUGGAGGUAAAGUAGACAGCACUUGCUGGCAGUUUGGAUGUAGAGGCUAAGAGAAAAAGGAGAUCCACAGAUAUCUUCUAGAUUUUUGACUUGAGCAGUUGAAUACUGAUGGAAAUAGUUGGGGAGGAACAGGUUUGGGAACUCUGUGGGAGACGCCUUUUAAAUAUCCAAAUAGAGAUGUCAACUAAGAGUUGUAAUUAGAAGUUGGAGUUCUGGAGGGAGGUCUGGAUUGGAAAUAUAAAUUUGGGAAUCCUUAGUUUGGAGAAAGUUUGUAGAGCCAAGAGGCCGGGCUUUUCAAAGUGCAGUCCAUGGACCGGCAGCAUCAGCAUCAUCUGGGAGUUAGUUAGAAAUGCAGACUCUCAGGUCCAUCUCCAGACGUACUCAGUCAGAAUCUACAUUUUAACAAGAUCUGCAUGUAAGAUUUGUGUGCACAUUCAUGUUUGAGAAGUGCUUUUGUAGGGACUGAGAGCUGAGAAGAAAAGGGGGACCCUGAUUGAACCCUGGCAUUUGAAGAUGGCACAGAGAAGAGCAAAUUGGCAAAGGAGACUACAAGAUGACAGCCGGUGAGCAGGGACAUGCCAGUCUGGCAAGAUUUGAAGGCUGUGUUGGAGCCCCAAAGGCUGAGGAGCCUUCCUGAGCCUCACUGACACAUAUAGUACUGAGUCCCUGACCUGGGUGUGUUCCACUUCUUCAAGAUUUGGUUCCCCUAUCUGAGCCGUGAAACCAACAUUUCUCACCCACCACCCAAGUUUGUCCACCCUGGACCCCAUCAUCCCAGCUAGAAUCCUGAGCAUCAUCCCUGACUCCUUCCGCCACUUCUCACAUCCAAUCUGCAUCCUGGCCCAUCAAUUCUGUCUCCUAAAUAUUUUGGGGAUCCAUCCCCCCCUCUCCAUCCUCUCUGUCCUCAUAUUUUUGUUCUUUGCCACAGCCCACUAAUUCCCUCCAGCCUUUUGUAUCCCCAACAUCUUCCACUUAGAAUCACAAAUCUGACCAAGCAUCUGCCUGGAUGUGGCUACUCAUUAUCCACAAGAUAGAGCCCAGGCAUCCUAGCCGGACACUCAGUGUCCUGUGUGGUCUGGUCGUGCUGAGCCCCAGCAUCAGUUCUCACAGCUUGUCCCCAAACUGCUCGCAGACCUGAACUUGCCAUGCUCCUGCCUCCACUGGAUUCUGCUGCUGUGUCCUGGCUAACUUCUAC
This 1310-nucleotide long non-coding RNA is filed under the name Equus caballus (horse). RNAcentral's name for it is "lncRNA (ENSECAG00000043864.1)". The record is from RNAcentral. Lineage: Eukaryota; Metazoa; Chordata; Mammalia; Perissodactyla; Equidae.